RNAcentral lists this ribosomal RNA (274 nucleotides) under uncultured bacterium. RNAcentral's name for it is "partial 16S ribosomal RNA". It matches the Rfam family "Bacterial small subunit ribosomal RNA", at positions 523 to 796 of the family's 1533-position model. The record is from RNAcentral.
AUACGGAGGGUGCGAGCGUUAAUCGGAAUUACUGGGCGUAAAGCGUACGUAGGCGGUUUGCUAAGUCAGAUGUGAAAGCCCCGGGCUUAACCUGGGAACUGCAUUUGAUACUGGCAGACUAGAGUAUGAUAGAGGGGGGUAGAAUUCCUGGUGUAGCGGUGAAAUGCGUAGAUAUCAGGAGGAAUACCAGUGGCGAAGGCGGCCCCCUGGAUCAAUACUGACGCCGAGGUACGAAAGCGUGGGGAGCGAACAGGAUUAGAAACCCUAGUAGUCC